UCCUCAUUGUGCAUACUCUCUCGCCGGUCAGACAGACGAGAGAGCAUGCAAAAUGAGGAGA
This 61-nucleotide microRNA precursor is filed under the name Pristionchus pacificus. RNAcentral's name for it is "mir-8364 microRNA precursor family". It matches the Rfam family "mir-8364 microRNA precursor family". Lineage: Eukaryota; Metazoa; Nematoda; Chromadorea; Rhabditida; Neodiplogasteridae. The record is from Rfam by way of RNAcentral.